CCUACGGGAGGCAGCAGUGGGGAAUAUUGCACAAUGGGGGAAACCCUGAUGCAGCAACGCCGCGUGAGUGAAGAAGGAUUUCGGGAUGUAAAGCCCUAUCAGCAGGGAAGAAGAUGACGGUACCUGCGUAAGCAGCCACGGCUAACUACGUGCCAGCAGCCGCGGUAAUUCGUAGGGGGGAAGCGGUAUCCGGAUUUACUGGGUGUAAAGGGAGCGUAGACGGGGCGACAAGUCUGAAGGGAAAGCUCGGGGCUCAACCCCGGGCCUGCUUGGGAAACUGCCUGACUGGAGUGCUGGAGAGGCAGGCGGAAUUCCUAGUGUAGCGGUGAAAUGCGUAGAUAUUAGGCAGAACACCAGUGGCGAAGGCGGCUUGCUGGACAGUUACUGACGUUGAGGCUCGAAAGCGUGGGGAGCGAACAGGAUUAGAUACCCUUGUAGUC
This 440-nucleotide ribosomal RNA is filed under the name uncultured bacterium. Its description in RNAcentral is "partial 16S ribosomal RNA". It matches the Rfam family "Bacterial small subunit ribosomal RNA", at positions 338 to 795 of the family's 1533-position model. The record is from RNAcentral.